UACAGAGGGGGCAAGCGUUGUUCGGAAUUACUGGGCGUAAAGGGCGCGUAGGCGGCCCGCUAAGUCGAACGUGAAAUCCCCGGGCUCAACCCGGGAACUGCGUCCGAGACUGGAAGGCUUGAAUCCGGGAGAGGGAUGUGGAAUUCCAGGUGUAGCGGUGAAAUGCGUAGAUAUCUGGAGGAACAUCGGUGGCGAAGGCGGCAUCCUGGACCGGUAUUGACGCUGAGGCGCGAAAGCCAGGGGAGCAAACGGG
RNAcentral lists this ribosomal RNA (253 nucleotides) under uncultured bacterium. RNAcentral's name for it is "partial 16S ribosomal RNA". It matches the Rfam family "Bacterial small subunit ribosomal RNA", at positions 524 to 776 of the family's 1533-position model. The record is from RNAcentral.